AUUGAACGCUGGCGGCAGGCCUAACACAUGCAAGUCGAACGGUAACAGGAAGCAGCUUGCUGCUUCGCUGACGAGUGGCGGACGGGUGAGUCAUGUCUGGGAAACUGCCUGAUGGAGGGGGAUAACUACUGGAAACGGUAGCUAAUACCGCAUAACGUCGCAAGACCAAAGAGGGGGACCUUAGGGCCUCUUGCCAUCGGAUGUGCCCAGAUGGGAUUAGCUAGUAGGUGGGGUAACUGCUCACCUAGGCGACGAUCCCUAGCUGGUCUGAGAGGAUGACCAGCCACACUGGAACUGAGACACGGUCCAGACUCCUACGGGAGGCAGCAGUGGGGAAUAUUGCACAAUGGGCGCAAGCCUGAUGCAGCCAUGCCGCGUGUAUGAAGAAGGCCUUCGGGUUGUAAAGUACUUUCAGCGGGGAGGAAGGGAGUAAAGUUAAUACCUUUGCUCAUUGACGUUACCCGCAGAAGAAGCACCGGCUAACUCCGUG
This 490-nucleotide ribosomal RNA is filed under the name uncultured bacterium. RNAcentral's name for it is "partial 16S ribosomal RNA". It matches the Rfam family "Bacterial small subunit ribosomal RNA", at positions 30 to 507 of the family's 1533-position model. The record is from RNAcentral.